GACGAACGCUGGCGGCGUGCUUAACACAUGCAAGUCGAGCGGUAAGGCCCUUUCGGGGGUACACGAGCGGCGAACGGGUGAGUAACACGUGGGUGACCUGCCCUCAGCUCUGGGAUAAGCCUGGGAAACCGGGUCUAAUACCGGAUAUGACUCCAUGACGCAUGUUGUGGGGUGGAAAGCCUUGUGCGGCUGAGGAUGGGCCCGCGGCCUAUCAGCUUGUUGGUGGGGUGAUGGCCUACCAAGGCGACGACGGGCAGCCGGCCUGAGAGGGCGACCGGCCACACUGGGACUGAGACACGGCCCAGACUCCUACGGGAGGCAGCAGUGGGGAAUCUUGCGCAAUGGGCGAAAGCCUGACGCAGCGACGCCGCGUGAGGGAUGACGGCCU
Molecule: ribosomal RNA, 388 nt
Filed under: uncultured bacterium
Lineage: Bacteria
Description: bacterial SSU rRNA
Rfam family: Bacterial small subunit ribosomal RNA
Source: RNAcentral